UCACUUACCUGGACGGGGUCAAUGGGUGAUCAAGAAGGUCCAUGGCCUAGGUUGGUGACCUCCAUUGCACUUUGGAGGGGUGCCCACCUAAGGUCGGCCCAAGUGGUCGAGCCUAUGUCAUAAUUUGUGGCAGUGGGGGCUUGCGUUCGCGCAGCCCUUG
RNAcentral lists this small nuclear RNA (160 nucleotides) under Helianthus annuus (common sunflower). Its description in RNAcentral is "U1 spliceosomal RNA". It matches the Rfam family "U1 spliceosomal RNA". Rfam says of the family: U1 is a small nuclear RNA (snRNA) component of the spliceosome (involved in pre-mRNA splicing). Its 5' end forms complementary base pairs with the 5' splice junction, thus defining the 5' donor site of an intron. The record is from RNAcentral. Lineage: Eukaryota; Viridiplantae; Streptophyta; Magnoliopsida; Asterales; Asteraceae.